Molecule: unclassified non-coding RNA, 240 nt
Filed under: soil metagenome
Description: partial contains 5.8S ribosomal RNA, internal transcribed spacer 2, and large subunit ribosomal RNA
Source: RNAcentral
AACCUAGCACACCUGCGGUGUGUACCUGCGGAGGGAUCAUUAAAAAAACUUUUGCCCGCGACCUCCGCGUCCGGAGCAAAAACAAACCCACACCGUGUGCACUGUUACCGUUUUCUUUGGCAGGGGCUUGGGGUUCUCGUCGAGAUCCCAACUUCUCCACUGGCUCCAUCCCAAUAUAAUCCCUUCGCGGGGGUUUUGGGACAGCCAGACAUGGGAAGCCGUACCCUGCCAAGUGACCCU